CCUACGGGAGGCUGCAGUGAGGAAUAUUGGUCAAUGGACGAGAGUCUGAACCAGCCAAGUAGCGUGCAGGAUGACUGCCCUCUGGGUUGUAAACUUCUUUUAUAUGGGAAUAAAAUGUUCCACGUGUGGGAUUUUGUAUGUACCAUAUGAAUAAGGAUCGGCUAACUCCGUGCCAGCAGCCGCGGUAAUACGGAGGAUCCGAGCGUUAUCCGGAUUUAUUGGGUUUAAAGGGAGCGUAGGUGGAUUGUUAAGUCAGUUGUGAAAGUUUGCGGCUCAACCGUAAAAUUGCAGUUGAAACUGGCAGUCGUGAGUACAGUAGAGGUGGGCGGAAGUCGUGGUGUAGCGGUGAAAUGCUUAGAUAUCACGAAGAACUCCGAUUGCUAAGGCAGCUCACUGGACUGCAACUGACACUGAGGCUCGAAAGUGUGGGUAUCAAACAGGAUUAGAUACCCGGGUAGUC
Molecule: ribosomal RNA, 460 nt
Filed under: uncultured bacterium
Lineage: Bacteria
Description: partial 16S ribosomal RNA
Rfam family: Bacterial small subunit ribosomal RNA
Source: RNAcentral